Molecule: small RNA, 116 nt
Filed under: Marmota monax (woodchuck)
Lineage: Eukaryota; Metazoa; Chordata; Mammalia; Rodentia; Sciuridae
Source: RNAcentral
GCUGGGCAUGAUGGCAGAUGUCUGUAGUUCCAGCUACUAGAAGGCUGAAGUAGGAGGACAGCAUGAGCCCAGGAAUUCAAGGCCAGCCUGGGUAACAGAGCAGGACCCUGUUUCUA